CAAAGGCUUGGUCCUGACUUUACUGUCAACUUUAGCUAAAUUUACACAUGCAAGUAUCCGCACCCCUGUGAGGAUGCCCCACAGUUUUCUGCUUGAAAACAAGGAGCUGGUAUCAGGCACACCUAAUUAUUAAGCCCACGACGCCUUGCUUAGCCACACCCCCAAGGGAACUCAGCAGUGAUAAACCUUAAGCCAUAAGUGAAAGCUUGACUUAGUUAAGGCUAAUAAGGGCCGGUAAAACUCGUGCCAGCCACCGCGGUUAUACGAGAGGCCCAAGUUGACAGACACCGGCGUAAAGCGUGGUUAAGGAAAACUAAAACUAAAGCCGAACACCUUCAGGGCAGUUAUACGCAUCUGUAAGGCAUGAAGUCCAAUCACGAAAGUGGCUUUACACUACCUGACUCCACGAAAGCUAUGGCACAAACUGGGAUUAGAUACCCCACUAUGCUUAGCCCUAAACAUUGAUGAAAUAUUACACCCCCUAUCCGCCCGGGCACUACGAGCAUUAGCUUGAAACCCAAAGGACUUGGCGGUACUUUAGAUCCCCCUAGAGGAGCCUGUUCUAUAACCGAUAAUCCCCGUUAAACCUCACCCUCCCUUGUCACCCCCGCCUAUAUACCGCCGUCGUCAGCUUACCCUUGUGAAGGACUAACAGUAAGCAAAAUUGGCAUCCCCCAGAACGUCAGGUCGAGGUGUAGCGCAUGAGAGGGGAAGAAAUGGGCUACAUUCGCUAAUGUUAGCGAAUACGGACGACGUACUGAAAACCGUACGUCCAAAGGAGGAUUUAGCAGUAAGUGGAAAAUAGAGUGUUCCACUGAAGCCGGCUCUGAAGUGCGCACACACCGCCCGUCACUCUCCCCAAGCGACCCAGCAAAUUUAGAUAAAACACUACAACCGCAAAGGGGAGGCAAGUCGUAACAUGGUAAGUGUACCGGAAGGUGCACUUGGAAAAAU
This 954-nucleotide non-coding RNA is filed under the name Epinnula magistralis (domine). Its description in RNAcentral is "12S rRNA". It matches the Rfam family "Bacterial small subunit ribosomal RNA". Lineage: Eukaryota; Metazoa; Chordata; Actinopteri; Scombriformes; Gempylidae. The record is from RNAcentral.